AUUUUAUAUGAGAGUUUGAUCCUGGCUCAGGAUGAACGCCGGCGGUGUGCCUAAUACAUGCAAGUCGUACGCACUGGCCCAACUGAUUGAUGGU
RNAcentral lists this ribosomal RNA (94 nucleotides) under Limosilactobacillus reuteri. RNAcentral describes it as "Lactobacillus reuteri partial 16S ribosomal RNA". It matches the Rfam family "Bacterial small subunit ribosomal RNA", at positions 1 to 91 of the family's 1533-position model. Lineage: Bacteria; Bacillati; Bacillota; Bacilli; Lactobacillales; Lactobacillaceae. The record is from RNAcentral.